GACGGAGGAUGCAAGUGUUAUCCGGAAUCACUGGGCGUAAAGCGUCUGUAGGUGGUUCAAUAAGUCAACUGUUAAAUCUUGAGGCUCAACUUCAAAAUCGCAGUCGAAACUAUUGGACUCGAGUAUAGUAGGGGUAAAGGGAAUUUCCAGUGGAGCGGUGAAAUGCGUAGAGAUUGGAAAGAACACCAAUGGCGAAAGCACUCUGCUGGGCCGACACUGACACUGAGAGACGAAAGCUAGGGGAGCGAAUGGG
This 253-nucleotide ribosomal RNA is filed under the name uncultured bacterium. RNAcentral's name for it is "partial 16S ribosomal RNA". It matches the Rfam family "Bacterial small subunit ribosomal RNA", at positions 524 to 776 of the family's 1533-position model. The record is from RNAcentral.